Molecule: long non-coding RNA, 234 nt
Filed under: Elaeis guineensis (African oil palm)
Lineage: Eukaryota; Viridiplantae; Streptophyta; Magnoliopsida; Arecales; Arecaceae
Description: long non-coding RNA (EGUI_LNC025722)
Source: RNAcentral
CAAAACUGGAUCUGCCGUCGCUCAAGUGUGCGGGUGAAGGGGGCAGGUGGGUUGGAGGACUAGGGUUUGGAGUGGUGGAGCUUUGGAGCGGAGAUUUUAAAAACACUAUUAAAAUCCUGGAGAUUUAUCCAGGGGGACGAUGGUGUAGACUAGAAAAGUUAUGCAUGUAUUAUCGGCUGGUUUGGCCUGGGUCAGUUGAGCAUGCAGGACUCUCCGAUCCCUCAAACAAUGAUC